This is a long non-coding RNA of Vidua macroura (Pin-tailed whydah), 316 nucleotides long. RefSeq lists it as uncharacterized. NCBI's taxonomy places the organism in Eukaryota, Metazoa, Chordata, Aves, Passeriformes, Viduidae. The transcript is spliced from 3 exons. The record is from RefSeq and is a predicted model, not a curated record.
GAUGAAAGCUCCCUGGUCUGAGCAAGUGCUAGUGAGCUUAGCGCAGAGGACAGAGAACUACUGACAGCUUAUCAUCACAGUUUUGAUGAAAAGGUGGAUCUGGACCUCAUUAUGCACUCACUUCAUAACAUCUGUCAUAGUUGUGAGACCGGAGCGAUUUUAAUAUUUCUUCCUGGAUAUGAUGAGAUAGCUUGAGGGACCGCAUUCUUUUUGAUGACAGGAGAUUUGCUGACCAUGCGCACAGAUUCUUUCUACAAAUACAGCAGAAACCAGCAUAACAGUCAAUGAUGUGGUAUUUGUUAUUGGCUCAGGCAAG